GACGAACGCUGGCGGCGUGCUUAACACAUGCAAGUCGAACGGAAAGGCCCUGCUUUUGUGGGGUGCUCGAGUGGCGAACGGGUGAGUAACACGUGAGUAACCUUCCCUUGACUUUGGGAUAACUUCAGGAAACUGGGGCUAAUACCGGAUAGGAGCUCCUGCUGCAUGGUGGGGGUUGGAAAGGUUCGGCGGUUGGGGAUGGACUCGCGGCUUAUCAGCUUGUUGGUGGGGUAGUGGCUUACCAAGGCUUUGACGGGUAGCCGGCCUGAGAGGGUGACCGGCAACAUUGGGACUGAGAUACGGCCCAGAGUCCUACGGGAGGCAGCAGUGGGGAAUAUUGCACAAUGGGCGGAAGCCUGAUGCAGCAACGCCGCGUGCGGGAUGACGGCCUUCGGGUUGUAAACCGCUUUCGCCUGUGACGAAGCGUGAGUGACGGUAAUGGGUAAAGAAGCACCGGCUAACUACGUG
Molecule: ribosomal RNA, 468 nt
Filed under: uncultured bacterium
Lineage: Bacteria
Description: partial 16S ribosomal RNA
Rfam family: Bacterial small subunit ribosomal RNA
Source: RNAcentral